ACCAGGAUGGCCGAGUGGUUAAGGCGUUGGACUUAAGUUCUAAUGUACGAAUGUACGCGUGGGUUCGAACCUCACUCCUGGUA
This 83-nucleotide transfer RNA is filed under the name Nematostella vectensis (starlet sea anemone). It matches the Rfam family "tRNA". From Rfam's summary of the family: Transfer RNA (tRNA) molecules are approximately 80 nucleotides in length. Lineage: Eukaryota; Metazoa; Cnidaria; Anthozoa; Actiniaria; Edwardsiidae. The record is from Rfam by way of RNAcentral.